UCCCGGAAACAGUUUAAGCUCAACAACAUUCAUUUUUUACCCUCGAGUGUGUUGAAUGUCUAAAACUCAAGUGUUCGUUUAUCCUGCUGGGGUUUUAAAGAAACAUUUACAGCGGUGGGAAUGAAUCUGCAGCUUCCAGAUGGUUCCUGAUGAGUGAAAAGUGAACUUUGCGCCUCCUCCUCACAGGAAAGAUUUAAAGUAUGGAUACAGUGGGAGUGAAUGUGAUGGAAACAGCAGCUCUAGGGAGACCUUUCCAGCUGGGGAUGCUGUAUGACUGCAGGAAAGAUGCUCU
Molecule: long non-coding RNA, 292 nt
Organism: Sinocyclocheilus rhinocerous
Lineage: Eukaryota; Metazoa; Chordata; Actinopteri; Cypriniformes; Cyprinidae
Exons: 3
Source: RefSeq, a predicted model, not a curated record